UACGUAGGGGGCUAGCGUUGUCCGGAAUCAUUGGGCGUAAAGAGCGUGUAGGCGGUCCGGUAAGUCCGCUGUGAAAGUCGGGGGCUCAACCCUCGAAUGCCGGUGGAUACUGUCGGGCUAGAGUGCGGAAGAGGCGAGUGGAAUUCCUGGUGUAGCGGUGAAAUGCGCAGAUAUCAGGAGGAACACCUAUUGCGAAGGCAGCUCGCUGGGACGUUACUGACGCUGAGACGCGAAAGCGUGGGGAGCAAAAGGG
Molecule: ribosomal RNA, 253 nt
Filed under: uncultured bacterium
Lineage: Bacteria
Description: partial 16S ribosomal RNA
Rfam family: Bacterial small subunit ribosomal RNA
Source: RNAcentral